Molecule: long non-coding RNA, 1521 nt
Filed under: Homo sapiens (human)
Lineage: Eukaryota; Metazoa; Chordata; Mammalia; Primates; Hominidae
Description: non-protein coding lnc-GDPD5-6:1
Source: RNAcentral
AUUCCCAGGGCCAGAUGGGGAAACACGGGAGGGGAGGAGCUGGCCACCUGCCAAGCCCAGACCUCUGGCCGAGCCCCAGCUCCUAGAUUCCAGCCUGUGCUCAGCCUCUGACUCUACACCUGACUUUCAGCAAGUCCCUGAUCCCUCUGAGCCUCAGUUUCCCCAUCUCUUGAGUUGGCACAGAGAGUUGUGAAAAAGAACUCAGAGGCUGGGAGCUGGAGCGGGAAGGGAGUCCCCAGGGAGCACAGCUGACUGGUCUUCACACCAAAAGCAAGCACAGGAGAAAGGGAGCUAGCAUUUCCCAGUGCCUGUGGUGUGCCAGGAGCUCCUGCAUUUUCCAUUAAUUCCCAUCACCCUGCUAUGAGGUAGGCAUUUUCUCCCCAUUUUGCAGAUGAUGAAACUGAGCCCCAAACAAGCAGAGAUUAUAGAGCUGGGUUUGAAGCUAGCUCUCCUUGCUUGGGGCCUGGGAUUCUGUCCACAGCAGCCACUGGGCCAUACCUGCAAGGGUGUCAGAAGGUUUGUGCUGGCGUCAGUGUCGCCAAGGACUCUGGGAGCCACUCACAUUUUGGGCACUGCCUAAAGUUGAUUACUUUGUUAACCCUGCCCAGGCCCCAGGCAGAGGCUUUAAAUUGUUAGAACAAUGAAGAAGGGAGAGCUGGAUAAACACUGGCCAGGCUUGAGGGAGUCCUGGGACAUAGUUGGGGUAAAGGACUGAUCAGAGCAUAUGCUGAGGCUCAGGAAUUCAUAGGCAUCUUCCUCCAGCUCCCUGACACAGGGUACCUAGAAGACUAACGAUGGUGGUGCUGAGUACUAGAAAGGUUCUGUCCCGGACACAAAUCUAGACACCAAGUCUGGUCCCCCGAACAAGGCAGGGACCCAGGUUAUUGGAGCAAGGCUGUGAGUCCCUGAGGUGAGGAACUACAGGGCUUGGCCUGAAGAUGGAGCUUGGCACGGUUUGUGCAGGAGCAAGCGGGUCAACAACAGGCCAGCAUCACAGGUCCACAGGACUGGCCCAGCCCCACACCCAUGCCAGGUUUCUGCCCUGCCACCUAAGGUGAGGCUGGCUCUGCCAUGGUGCCCAUGGGUGGUGGGGCGGGGGAUGAGGAGGUCUAGUGCCCACAGAGCUGGCUCUGCCACCACUGGGCAUUUUCAGAGAUAGAGUCUUGCCCAAGGAUUACCCCAUAGAGGUUUUACCAAGGAACUUCUGGAGACAGAAGGGCUUGACCCAAAGACAUCGUGUUGACAUAAAAUUCCAAGCACUGGCAGACCACUCAUUUUCUCUCAAAACCCACUUUUCCUGAGCAACUGUUCCGAGCCAGGCCCUCUUCUGGAACACAGAAGCAAACCAAAUCUACUCCCUUAAACAAUGGGACUCACACCAGGUGCUCAGGAAUGGGACGGAGGGGAGGAAGCAGAGGAGCUCUGGGACUGUAGCCCAGCCAGAAGGAGCCCAGAAGUACCAAUCCAGUGUGGGAUCAGGGGUCAGGGAAGACUUCUUGGAGGAGGCUACCUAAGGUUGAG